This 78-nucleotide transfer RNA is filed under the name Sphaerodactylus townsendi. Its description in RNAcentral is "tRNA-Ala". Lineage: Eukaryota; Metazoa; Chordata; Lepidosauria; Squamata; Sphaerodactylidae. The record is from RNAcentral.
AAGUGUGUGACUGUGAUUCAGUGGUUGAACAUCUGUUUUGCAUACAGAAGGUCCCAUGUUCAAUCUCUGGCACAUUCA